RNAcentral lists this ribosomal RNA (396 nucleotides) under uncultured bacterium. RNAcentral describes it as "partial 16S ribosomal RNA". It matches the Rfam family "Bacterial small subunit ribosomal RNA", at positions 523 to 917 of the family's 1533-position model. The record is from RNAcentral.
AUACGUAGGUGGCAAGCGUUGUCCGGAAUUAUUGGGCGUAAAGCGCGCGCAGGUGGUUCCUUAAGUCUGAUGUGAAAGCCCCCGGCUCAACCGGGGAGGGUCAUUGGAAACUGGGGAACUUGAGUGCAGAAGAGGAUAGUGGAAUUCCAAGUGUAGCGGUGAAAUGCGUAGAGAUUUGGAGGAACACCAGUGGCGAAGGCGACUGUCUGGUCUGUAACUGACACUGAGGCGCGAAAGCGUGGGGAGCAAACAGGAUUAGAUACCCUGGUAGUCCACGCCGUAAACGAUGAGUGCUAAGUGUUGGGGGGUUUCCGCCCCUCAGUGCUGCAGCUAACGCAUUAAGCACUCCGCCUGGGGAGUACGGUCGCAAGACUGAAACUCAAAUGAAUUGACGGG